CCUACGGGUGGCAGCAGUGAGGAAUAUUGGUCAAUGGACGAGAGUCUGAACCAGCCAAGUAGCGUGAAGGAUGACUGCCCUAUGGGUUGUAAACUUCUUUUAUAUGGGAAUAAAAUGUUCCACGUGUGGGAUUUUGUAUGUACCAUAUGAAUAAGGAUCGGCUAACUCCGUGCCAGCAGCCGCGGUAAUACGGAGGAUCCGAGCGUUAUCCGGAUUUAUUGGGUUUAAAGGGAGCGUAGGUGGAUUGUUAAGUCAGUCGUGAAAGUUUGCGGCUCAACCGUAAAAUUGCAGUUGAAACUGGCAGUCUUGAGUACACUAGAGGUGGGCGGAAUUCGUGGUGUAGCGGUGAAAUGCUUAGAUAUCACGAAGAACUCCGAUUGCGAAGGCAGUUCACUGGACUGCAACUGACACUGAGGCUCGAAAGUGUGGGUAUCAAACAGGAUUAGAUACCCUUGUAGUC
Molecule: ribosomal RNA, 460 nt
Filed under: uncultured bacterium
Lineage: Bacteria
Description: partial 16S ribosomal RNA
Rfam family: Bacterial small subunit ribosomal RNA
Source: RNAcentral